AACGGAUGUAACGUUCGGGGAUAAUCAUAACACAGACAGUUUAGUGUAAUAUGCCAUAAUGAACUGCUUUGAAUGCAUCUAACCAGUUAAUGCAUACUGGAGCUGGUAGCCCAUGAAGGCACUGUGUGCCUAAACGUCAUAUCCUGUCUUAUCCUGUCUCGUUUCAGACGUCACAUUAGUCCGGUCAUAUCCUGUCUCGUUUCAGACGUCACAUCCUUCCGGUCAUAUCCUGUCUCGUUUCAGACGUCACAUUAGUCCGGUCAUAUCCUGUCUCGUUUCAGACGUCACAGUCAGGUCAUAUCCUGUCUCGUUUCAGACGUCACAUCCUUCCGGUCAUAUCCUGUCUCGUUUCAGACGUCACAGUCAGGUCAUAUCCUGUCUCGUUUCAGACGUCACCGUCAGGUCAUAUCCUGUCUCGUUUCAGAUGUCACAGUCAGGUCAUAUCCUGUCUCGUUUCAGACGUCACAUUCAGGUCAUAUCCUGUCUUUAUCCACCACUGGCUUUAUUUCUCUUCCUACUGAGUAACAGCGUGUGUGUGUGUGUGUGUGCGCGCGCGUGCGUGUGUGCGUGUGUGCGUGCGUAUGUGCGUGCGUGUGCGUGCGUAUGUGCGUGCGGGUGCGCGCGUAUGUGCGUGC
Molecule: long non-coding RNA, 635 nt
Organism: Oncorhynchus tshawytscha (Chinook salmon)
Lineage: Eukaryota; Metazoa; Chordata; Actinopteri; Salmoniformes; Salmonidae
Source: Ensembl